This 189-nucleotide small nucleolar RNA is filed under the name Jaculus jaculus (lesser Egyptian jerboa). RNAcentral's name for it is "Small nucleolar RNA SNORA73 family (ENSJJAG00000006503.1)". It matches the Rfam family "Small nucleolar RNA SNORA73 family". Rfam says of the family: U17 (SNORA73A and SNORA73B) also known as E1 belongs to the H/ACA class of small nucleolar RNAs (snoRNAs). Vertebrate U17 is intron-encoded and ranges in length from 200-230 nucleotides, longer than most snoRNAs. The record is from Rfam by way of RNAcentral. Lineage: Eukaryota; Metazoa; Chordata; Mammalia; Rodentia; Dipodidae.
CCACCACAGUUAUCUGGGGAGGUCACUCUCCCUGGGCUCUGGGCUCUGGGCAGGUGGCCUAAGGGAGCACAGGCUCUGCCCCGUGAUGGAAAUGAAGACUGGCCUUUUGACUCUGGGCCUGCAUAUUCCUAUGACUUCUCAGAGUCCAGUGGACAAUGACUGAGGAAACAAAUCAUACAGGAAACAAUG